This 85-nucleotide transfer RNA is filed under the name Colwellia sp. MT41. It matches the Rfam family "tRNA". Rfam says of the family: Transfer RNA (tRNA) molecules are approximately 80 nucleotides in length. Their secondary structure includes four short double-helical elements and three loops (D, anti-codon, and T loops). The record is from Rfam by way of RNAcentral. Lineage: Bacteria; Pseudomonadati; Pseudomonadota; Gammaproteobacteria; Alteromonadales; Colwelliaceae.
ACAGAGUUGGCAGAGUGGCUUAUCGCACUGGCUUUAUAACCCAGCGAGGGGAAACCCUCCACAGGUUCGAAUCCUGUACUCUCCG